GACGAACGCUGGCGGCAUGCUUAACACAUGCAAGUCGAACGAAGUGGCGAACGGGUGAGUAACGCGUAAUAAACAUGCCCUUCAGAGGGGGAAACCAGUUGGAAACGACUGCUAAAACCGCAUACGGAUGGCGGGGAAUGCGUCGGAUUUGCUAGCUGGGGGGGUAACGGCCCACCAAGGUGAUGAUCAGUAGGCGGUUUGAUGGGAUGAACCGCCACAUUGGGAAUGGGACACGGCCCAAGCCCCUACGGGAGGGAGGAAGGGGGAAUCUUCCGAAAAGGAGGGAAGGCUGACUGAGCAACUCCGCGUGGGUGAUGACGGCCUUUGGGUUGGAAAGCUCUGUUAAGCGGGACGCGGUACCGGAAUAGAAAGCCACGGCUAACUACGUGCCAGCCGCCGCGGUAAUUC
Molecule: ribosomal RNA, 408 nt
Filed under: uncultured bacterium
Lineage: Bacteria
Description: partial 16S ribosomal RNA
Rfam family: Bacterial small subunit ribosomal RNA
Source: RNAcentral